RNAcentral lists this ribosomal RNA (408 nucleotides) under uncultured bacterium. RNAcentral describes it as "bacterial SSU rRNA". It matches the Rfam family "Bacterial small subunit ribosomal RNA", at positions 354 to 776 of the family's 1533-position model. The record is from RNAcentral.
GUGGGGAAUAUUGGGCAAUGGGCGCAAGCCUGACCCAGCAACGCCGCGUGAAGGAAGAAGGCUUUCGGGUUGUAAACUUCUUUUCUGAGGGACGAAGAAAGUGACGGUACCUCAGGAAUAAGCCACGGCUAACUACGUGCCAGCAGCCGCGGUAAUACGUAGGUGGCAAGCGUUAUCCGGAUUUAUUGGGUGUAAAGGGCGUGUAGGCGGGAAUGCAAGUCAGAUGUGAAAACUAUGGGCUCAACCCAUAGCCUGCAUUUGAAACUGUAUUUCUUGAGUGCUGGAGAGGCAAUCGGAAUUCCGUGUGUAGCGGUGAAAUGCGUAGAUAUACGGAGGAACACCAGUGGCGAAGGCGGAUUGCUGGACAGUAACUGACGCUGAGGCGCGAAAGCGUGGGGAGCAAACAGG